Molecule: ribosomal RNA, 255 nt
Filed under: uncultured bacterium
Lineage: Bacteria
Description: partial 16S ribosomal RNA
Rfam family: Bacterial small subunit ribosomal RNA
Source: RNAcentral
GUCCACGCCGUAACGAUGGAUGCUAGCCGUUGGCCAGCUUGCUGGUCAGUGGCGCCGCUAACGCUUAAGCAUCCCGCCUGGGAGUACGGUCGCAAGAUUAAACUCAAGGAAUUGACGGGGCCCGCACAAGCGGUGGAGCAUGUGGUUUAAUUCGAAGCAACGCGCAGAACCUUACCAGCCUUUGACAUGCCCGGCUACACGGAGAGAUCCGUGGUCCCUUCGGGGACCGGGACACAGGUGCUGCAUGGCUGUCGU